RNAcentral lists this ribosomal RNA (101 nucleotides) under Umezakia ovalisporum CS-1034. RNAcentral's name for it is "partial 16S ribosomal RNA". It matches the Rfam family "Bacterial small subunit ribosomal RNA", at positions 1435 to 1533 of the family's 1533-position model. The record is from RNAcentral. Lineage: Bacteria; Bacillati; Cyanobacteriota; Cyanophyceae; Nostocales; Nodulariaceae.
CCAACUUUACGGAGAGGGGGAUGCCGAAGGCAGGACUGGUGACUGGGGUGAAGUCGUAACAAGGUAGCCGUACCGGAAGGUGUGGCUGGAUCACCUCCUUU